UUAAAUUGAAGAGUUUGAUCAUGGCUCAGAUUGAACGCUGGCGGCAGGCCUAACACAUGCAAGUCGAACGGUAGCACAGAGGAGCUUGCUCCUUGGGUGACGAGUGG
Molecule: ribosomal RNA, 107 nt
Filed under: Citrobacter braakii
Lineage: Bacteria; Pseudomonadati; Pseudomonadota; Gammaproteobacteria; Enterobacterales; Enterobacteriaceae
Description: partial 16S ribosomal RNA
Rfam family: Bacterial small subunit ribosomal RNA
Source: RNAcentral